RNAcentral lists this ribosomal RNA (626 nucleotides) under Listeria monocytogenes. RNAcentral describes it as "bacterial SSU rRNA". It matches the Rfam family "Bacterial small subunit ribosomal RNA", at positions 914 to 1533 of the family's 1533-position model. Lineage: Bacteria; Bacillati; Bacillota; Bacilli; Caryophanales; Listeriaceae. The record is from RNAcentral.
CGGGGGCCCGCACAAGCGGUGGAGCAUGUGGUUUAAUUCGAAGCAACGCGAAGAACCUUACCAGGUCUUGACAUCCUUUGACCACUCUGGAGACAGAGCUUUCCCUUCGGGGACAAAGUGACAGGUGGUGCAUGGUUGUCGUCAGCUCGUGUCGUGAGAUGUUGGGUUAAGUCCCGCAACGAGCGCAACCCUUGAUUUUAGUUGCCAGCAUUUAGUUGGGCACUCUAAAGUGACUGCCGGUGCAAGCCGGAGGAAGGUGGGGAUGACGUCAAAUCAUCAUGCCCCUUAUGACCUGGGCUACACACGUGCUACAAUGGAUAGUACAAAGGGUCGCGAAGCCGCGAGGUGGAGCUAAUCCCAUAAAACUAUUCUCAGUUCGGAUUGUAGGCUGCAACUCGCCUACAUGAAGCCGGAAUCGCUAGUAAUCGUGGAUCAGCAUGCCACGGUGAAUACGUUCCCGGGCCUUGUACACACCGCCCGUCACACCACGAGAGUUUGUAACACCCGAAGUCGGUAGGGUAACCUUUAUGGAGCCAGCCGCCGAAGGUGGGACAGAUAAUUGGGGUGAAGUCGUAACAAGGUAGCCGUAUCGGAAGGUGCGGCUGGAUCACCUCCUUUCUAAGGAA